CUGCCGGUGAUAAACCGGAGGAAGGUGGGGAUGACGUCAAGUCAUCAUGGCCCUUACGAGUAGGGCUACACACGUGCUACAAUGGCGUAUACAAAGGGAAGCGACCCCGCGAGGGCAAGCGGAACUCAUAAAGUACGUCGUAGUCCGGAUUGGAGUCUGCAACUCGACUCCAUGAAGUCGGAAUCGCUAGUAAUCGUAGAUCAGAAUGCUACGGUGAAUACGUUCCCGGGCCUUGUACACACCGCCCGUCACACCAUGGGAGUGGGUUGCAAAAGAAGUAGGUAGCUUAACCUCCGGGAGGGCGCUUACCACUUUGUGAUUCAUGACUGGGGUGAAGUCGUAACA
Molecule: ribosomal RNA, 345 nt
Filed under: Morganella morganii
Lineage: Bacteria; Pseudomonadati; Pseudomonadota; Gammaproteobacteria; Enterobacterales; Morganellaceae
Also listed under: 1 other name
Description: bacterial SSU rRNA
Rfam family: Bacterial small subunit ribosomal RNA
Source: RNAcentral